Molecule: non-coding RNA, 124 nt
Organism: Triticum urartu
Lineage: Eukaryota; Viridiplantae; Streptophyta; Magnoliopsida; Poales; Poaceae
Source: Rfam
AUAAUAAUCCCUCCGUCCGAGAAUACUUGUCCUAGAAAUGAAUGUAUCUAGACUUAUUUUAGUUAUAGAUACAUCCAUUUUAUCCAUUUCUAGGACAAGUAUUUCCGGACGAAGGGGGUAUUCA